RNAcentral lists this ribosomal RNA (429 nucleotides) under bacterium. RNAcentral describes it as "bacterial SSU rRNA". It matches the Rfam family "Bacterial small subunit ribosomal RNA", at positions 1 to 446 of the family's 1533-position model. The record is from RNAcentral.
UUUAGUUAAGAGUUUGAUCCUAGCUCAGGAUGAACGCUGGCGGCGUGGAUAAGGCAUGCAAGUCAAACGGCUCGCAAGAGCAGUGGCAGACGAGGUAGUAAUAAGUAAGUGACCUACCCUUGAGUCAGGGAUACCUCAUCGAAAGGUGAGUUAAUACUUGAUGGUCUCAAUGAUUCAUUUCAUUGAGUAAAGAUUUAUCGCUUAAGGAAGGGCUUGCUGAGUAUCAGCUAGUUGGUGAGGUAAAAGCUCACCAAGGCUAUGACGCUUAGGGGACCUGAGAGGGUGACCCCCACCGAUGGAACUGAGAGACGGUCCAUACACCUACGGGUGGCCGCAGUCGAGAAUCUUCCGCAAUGGACGCAAGUCUGACGGAGCGACGCCGCGUGGAUGAUGAAGCGCUUCGGCGUGUAAAAUCCUUUUGCCAGGGAG